GGUUGGGCAUAAUGCUUCAAGGAUCGCGUUCUUCAAGGGGUGAGAAGAAC
Molecule: non-coding RNA, 50 nt
Organism: Enterococcus hirae ATCC 9790
Lineage: Bacteria; Bacillati; Bacillota; Bacilli; Lactobacillales; Enterococcaceae
Source: Rfam